UGAAAUAAGCGCGUCUAACUACGUUGCAAUUACGAUGUCACAUCGUAUUCAUUGCAAAUCUAACUUUUUUAUCAAAUGCAUGUUUUUUUUUCUACUUAGGUCGAUGCCCAGGACAAAAUGAAGCUUUAGGUGCUUGCCUCCGCAGUAAUACAAAAUACGAAGACGUAUGUCCUGAAGCGCCAUCUCAAUGGUGCCGCUAUUCCUCCUAUAACUAUAAUAGUAAACUAAGAAAACGUCCCUGCGUCUGCGUGAGCGGAACGUGUAGGAAUAGACGUGGGAUUUGCGUGCCCUGUGAUGAAUGCGAUGCAAACAAGUAAAGCUGGAACCAUUCGGAAGCUGCACAUACGUUCGUAAAGCGGGUCCAUAUCCGAUCUGCUGCAAUUUUGAGCGUGUAUGUUAGUGACUCCUGAAGGCACUACGUACCUUCUUUCGCCAGUUGUUUGUAAGUGAAUGGUGCAUGAGACUCGAAAUCAGAAAUGCUCUAGCUAAGUACAUAAUAAAUCAUUAUGUGCUAUAA
This is a non-coding RNA of Dermacentor andersoni, 517 nucleotides long. The record is from RefSeq and is a predicted model, not a curated record. NCBI's taxonomy places the organism in Eukaryota, Metazoa, Arthropoda, Arachnida, Ixodida, Ixodidae.